AGCUCCAAUAGCAUAUUUUAAAGUUGUUGUAGUUUAAAAGCUCGUAGUUUGAUGUCUGGUGGGAGCAAUCAGUAUGGCACUUUGUGUCAUAGCUUGCAUUGUCUCUGACCAUCCUUUGAAAGAAUCAGUCUGGUAUUAAGUUGUCGGACUGAAGAUUUCCAUCUCUUACUGUGAAAAAAUUAGAGUGUUCAAAGCAGACUUAAGCCGUUGAAUAUAUUAGAAUGGAAUAAUUAUAUAGGACGUUAGUGCUAUUUUUGUUGGUUUACGUGCCAUAGUAAUGAUUGACAGGGAAAAUUGGGGGUAUUUGUAUUCCAAUGUCAGAGGUGAAAUUAUUGGAUUUUUGGAAGACAAACUACUGUGAAAGUAUUUACCAAGGAUGUUUUCA
RNAcentral lists this ribosomal RNA (385 nucleotides) under uncultured eukaryote. Its description in RNAcentral is "SSU rRNA". It matches the Rfam family "Eukaryotic small subunit ribosomal RNA", at positions 587 to 972 of the family's 1831-position model. The record is from RNAcentral.